This 253-nucleotide unclassified non-coding RNA is filed under the name uncultured Gammaproteobacteria bacterium. RNAcentral describes it as "contains 16S-23S intergenic spacer region". It matches the Rfam family "Bacterial small subunit ribosomal RNA", at positions 524 to 776 of the family's 1533-position model. The record is from RNAcentral. Lineage: Bacteria; Pseudomonadati; Pseudomonadota; Gammaproteobacteria.
UACGGAGGGUGCAAGCGUUAAUCGGAAUUACUGGGCGUAAAGCGCGCGUAGGCGGUUUUGUAAGUCGGAUGUGAAAGCCCAGGGCUUAACCCUGGAAUUGCAUUCGAUACUGCAUAACUAGAGUAUGGUAGAGGGAAGUGGAAUUUCCGGUGUAGCGGUGAAAUGCGUAGAUAUCGGAAGGAACACCAGUGGCGAAGGCGACUUCCUGGGCCAAUACUGACGCUGAGGCACGAAAGCGUGGGGAGCGAACAGG